AGGCAACCCUUUUGUGACUUUAAUAACGAAAGAGGUGUUAAACUGCUCGUAAAUUAAGUUCUUUUGCUUUUCAGACUUGCUGAGGUUACAGUGAAGCUGGUCCUAGUAAGCUUUAGUAUCAUU
Small nucleolar RNA from Humulus lupulus (European hop), 123 nucleotides. RefSeq annotates it as small nucleolar RNA snoR77. The transcript has a single exon. The record is from RefSeq and is a predicted model, not a curated record. Lineage: Eukaryota; Viridiplantae; Streptophyta; Magnoliopsida; Rosales; Cannabaceae.